CUAUUUUUUUCAAUAGUCUUUUUUUUUGCUCUUUUUUUUACCUUCAUUUUAAAUGAAUGUGUUGAAAUUUAAUA
Molecule: non-coding RNA, 74 nt
Filed under: Rhodosorus marinus
Lineage: Eukaryota; Rhodophyta; Stylonematophyceae; Stylonematales; Stylonemataceae
Source: RNAcentral